This is a long non-coding RNA of Photinus pyralis (common eastern firefly), 796 nucleotides long. RefSeq lists it as uncharacterized. The record is from RefSeq and is a predicted model, not a curated record. The transcript has 2 exons. NCBI's taxonomy places the organism in Eukaryota, Metazoa, Arthropoda, Insecta, Coleoptera, Lampyridae.
AUUCGUAAAUCGUGCAGGUACACCACAGAAUAUUUGUGAGGUGCACAAUAAAAUUAAAAAGUUAGGUUAUAUAAGUAACUAGGUACAAUAUGCAUUUUUCAACAAAUUGAGCAGCAGAAUUAUAAAACAGAAGAGUAAUUUGUGUAUAACUAACAACUGUUACAUAAUUUGCAUUGCAUGGAACUGCAGGCUGCCCUGUUUAUCUCUUUAUAAUCAAGAUAUCAAUAAGAUGGAAUUAUAAAAAUGGAGAAUAAGUUACUGGGAGUAUAUUAUUCAUACAAAGUUAUGUGGAACAAAAGUUCUACUAAAAAUGUAUGAAUGGGAACCUUUUUGCUGCAAAAUGUAUUGUACCAAAGAGUAUUUGAUUGUACUUAUACCUACAUAAUUGACACAUGUAGGUACCUUACUAAUAGAAACUAACACACAUGUAGUACAAAUUGUAGUUUAUAAAAACGUUCGUCAAAGUGUAAAAGGUAAUCUACACACGAGCUUUCAGACAAGUUUGUAACGUUAUUUCUUCCGAUUUGUACCACUGAUUUAUGGUGUUCUUACGCUGCUGUAAAGCUUCGUUUUACAUAGAAAUUACAUUCUCAUUUUUAUAACAAUUUCGCCCUACAUGCUUUUUUAUGUCCAGUGUGAGUACAUCACUGGCGUUCAUACCCUUGAGGUUUUCGGGGCUUCCAAUGUUUUCAUCCCACUUGACGAAUCGGUGAAAUGAUUACUCAAUGUAUUGCUUAAGAAAUUUAAUUAAUAGUUUUGCGAUGUAACUUUUUUACAAUAAAGCUCUGAGGUUGGA